UGGGGAAUAUUGGACAAUGGGCGGAAGCCUGAUCCAGCGAUGCCGCGUGUGUGAAGAAGGCCUGCGGGUUGUAAAGCACUUUCGGUGGGGAGAAAGAACUUUGUACUAAUACUAUGAAGUGAAGAUGUUACCCACAGAAGAAGCACCGGCUAACUCUGUGCCAGCAGCCGCGGUAAUACAGAGGGUGCGAGCGUUAAUCGGAAUUACUGGGCGUAAAGGGUGCGUAGGUGGUUAUAUAAGUCUGAUGUGAAAGUCCUGAGCUCAACUUGGGGAUUGCGUCAGAUACUGUUUGACUAGAGUACUGUAGAGGGAAGUGGAAUUUCCGGUGUAGCGGUGAAAUGCGUAGAUAUCGGAAGGAACAUCAGUGGCGAAGGCGAUUUUCUGGACAGUUACUGACACUGAGGCACGAAAGCAUGGGGAGCAAACAG
Molecule: ribosomal RNA, 428 nt
Filed under: uncultured bacterium
Lineage: Bacteria
Description: bacterial SSU rRNA
Rfam family: Bacterial small subunit ribosomal RNA
Source: RNAcentral